Gadus morhua (Atlantic cod) is the source of this 91-nucleotide small nucleolar RNA. Its record names the gene U3. It matches the Rfam family "Small nucleolar RNA U3". From Rfam's summary of the family: Small nucleolar RNAs (snoRNAs) are involved in the processing and modification of rRNA in the nucleolus. There are two main classes of snoRNAs: the box C/D class, and the box H/ACA class. The record is from Ensembl. Lineage: Eukaryota; Metazoa; Chordata; Actinopteri; Gadiformes; Gadidae.
AACAUCAUACUUUCAGGGUUCAUUUCUAGUUUGAUACUUGAGAAAUCUCUUAUGGAUCUGAUCGGUUACCCAAACCACGAUGAAGAGUGGC